UUUGCCUGCCAUGUUGGGUUUCAUCCUCAACAGCACAAAGAAGAGGAGAGAUGGAGCAGUGACUGCCACUUAGGCUUGUACCAGGUGAUAUUCAGAGGCACAGCCUUUGCCCAUUUUACAGAUGGAGAUUCAAAGGUUCUCAGAGACAGGCACAGUAUUUCCAGCAGAGCAGCAGAAGCAACGCCAGGAGCAACAGGAGGAAGAUGAGCAGGGGGAUGAGCCACCAGAAGGAGCCGGGAGGGCAGUCUGCAGGGACUGUGCUGUUGGGCCCAGGGCUGCCAUCGCCCUCCACGUUGUAGCUGUAAGUGCAGUCGUCAUCCUCAUCCCGGAAGGAGCAGUACUCCACCACCUCUUCUGCUAAAUCCACAGACUGUUAGCACGGCACCCUGACCCAGCCCUCCACUCGGGGCAUCCCGGGGCCUGGAGAGGUAUUACCUCCUCCGUGGCCUACGGGAAAGAGCGUAAGUCCCCUGACUAGAGAAGUCACCAGGAUGAAGGGACUGCCCUGCCCAGGGCUGGCACCACUAACAGGCUCGUCUGAAAGUUCAUCGCCCCCCCCCCCACUUCCCUGCUCCGCACACUAUCAUAAGUAUAGUGUCCAGACAGCAGAGCUGACUUAGAAGGAGACAAAUAAUAUCCUGUCAUCCAACAGCACGCCGCACCUGGGCCCCUCAACUGUGCUGUGGGCCUGCCCUAUCGCUUACUCAUCUGACCCCUCACUCCCAGCUACACGGACUCUCCUUUCCUCUCGGCUCUCGAUCCGACUUUGUACCUGUACUAGGCUUCCCCUGUCUAGGUCCUGAGGCAUCUCACAGCUCCGCUCACAAACGCAGUCCGGGAUGCAUAGCCUCAACUCAGAGUUCAAGCCUUUUCCCGUCCUCCAUGCUGGGUUCUUCCUGCCUAGACUCAGCACUGUCUCUCAGACCCCUUACCCCCUCCCUCCCCCGGAGAUCUCACUCAUGCUGUACUGAACUCUCUAAGUAGACAGAGAUCUACCUGCUGCUGUCUCCCAAGUGCUGGUAUUAAGGCUGUAGGGUAUCACGCUGCCGCCCCUACCUUUCUUAAGCUCGUCUACCAUCUUGACUUUAAAGGGGCAAUCGUCACACGCGCGCCCUUUCUUCUCCCCGGUGCCCCAGGCCUGGCACUGUACGCAGGAGCGGAGAUCCUCACAGAGACCCAGGCGUAUCUGGGGAGAGGAGAACAGACACUAUGCUGGGUGGACCCAACUCCCUUUCCCUAGUGCGCUCAGCCAGCGUCUCCUUCCCAGCCACCGCAGUUCCUGGGGUUCCCAUGCCCACACCCCAGGAGCCCUUGCCUCACCGCAGAGUAGUUGAUCUCACAGGUGGUGUCCGUGUAGAGCGACUGCUGGUUGCAGUGACAACGGCCACACUCACAGUAGCCUCGGCCGUUGCAGAUGCCCUGGGGUUGGGGAGUCAGCAGUGAGCCAGCAGAGCUCUAUCCUUGCCUGCCCUCGCUACCGUCUAUACCACCUGCCCUGUGCUCAGGCCUUACCCCGUUGCUAUCGAUGCAGGUGGCAUUGCUGAGGGGACAGUCACAGCUGCGGCCUGUCCAACCAGGCUCACACACACACUCUCCCAUAGAACAGCGACCCCGGUCUGUAAAGAGAGGAAGGGACAGAAGAGUAGAACCACAUUCCUAUAUGCCAUUCAAGAUGGCCACCCACCCGUUACAGUGGGCCUCUGGGAGCUCUGUGGUAGAAGCUGCCCCUCAGUUUUCUGGAAUCUUCUUCCCUCUGUCCUGCCUUCUUCUGAGGGCAGAGUGACCACCCCCAAACACAAAUCCAUUCCUGUGAUUAACUUGUUCAAGGAUCUCUAUUGGAAUAAUAAGCUGGAAAAAGGUACAGAUAUGAAUAAAUAAGAAAUCAAGGGUGGGGCAGUGGUGUCGCACUCGUUUAAUCCCAGCACUUGGGAGGCAGAGGCAGGUGGAUUUCUGAGUUGGAGGCCAGCAUGGUCUAUAGAGUGAGUUCCAGGACAACCAGGGCUACACAGAGAAACCCUGUCUUGAAAAAUCAAAAAUAAAUAAAUAAAUAAAAUAAAAAUAAAAAAUAAAUAAAAAUC
RNAcentral lists this long non-coding RNA (2078 nucleotides) under Mus musculus (house mouse). Its description in RNAcentral is "RIKEN cDNA B230344G16 gene (B230344G16Rik)". Lineage: Eukaryota; Metazoa; Chordata; Mammalia; Rodentia; Muridae. The record is from RNAcentral.